RNAcentral lists this unclassified non-coding RNA (207 nucleotides) under Hevea brasiliensis (rubber tree). Lineage: Eukaryota; Viridiplantae; Streptophyta; Magnoliopsida; Malpighiales; Euphorbiaceae. The record is from RNAcentral.
AAGGUGUGCAACACUACAGAUUUAACCUCUUGGUAAGAGCUGAAGACAUAGCCACAUGAAAGGAGGGCAAAUGUAGUAACCAAGCUAGGAUUUCUUUUUGCAAUCAUUAUGCUAAGACCAGUUCCCAGCAAAUCUGCAAGAUUGCUAACACAUUCUCCCUUAGCAGUGACGUCCCCAAUGUUUUCUCCUUUAGCAAAGGCUUUGUAA